ACGCACGUUAUGGUGGGGCACUCUAAGGAGACGUGCCGGUGACAAACCGGAGGAAGGUGGGGAUGACGUCAAGUCAUCAUGGCCCUUACGGCCUGGGCUACACACGUGCUACAAUGGUCGGUACAAAGGGUUGCCAAGCCGCGAGGUGGAGCUAAUCCCAUAAAACCGAUCGUAGUCCGGAUCGCAGUCUGCAACUCGACUGCGUGAAGUCGGAAUCGCUAGUAAUCGUGGAUCAGAAUGUCACGGUGAAUACGUUCCCGGGCCUU
RNAcentral lists this ribosomal RNA (266 nucleotides) under uncultured Pseudomonas sp. RNAcentral describes it as "partial 16S ribosomal RNA". It matches the Rfam family "Bacterial small subunit ribosomal RNA", at positions 1120 to 1382 of the family's 1533-position model. Lineage: Bacteria; Pseudomonadati; Pseudomonadota; Gammaproteobacteria; Pseudomonadales; Pseudomonadaceae. The record is from RNAcentral.